Molecule: ribosomal RNA, 274 nt
Filed under: uncultured bacterium
Lineage: Bacteria
Description: partial 16S ribosomal RNA
Rfam family: Bacterial small subunit ribosomal RNA
Source: RNAcentral
CUACGGAGGGGGUUAGCGUUGUUCGGAAUUACUGGGCGUAAAGCGCACGUAGGCGGACUGGAAAGUUGGGGGUGAAAUCCCGGGGCUCAACCCCGGAACUGCCUCCAAAACUCCCAAUCUAGAGAUCGAGAGAGGUGAGUGGAAUUCCAAGUGUAGAGGCGAAAUUCGUAGAUAUUUGGAGGAACACCAGUGGCGAAGGCGGCUCACUGGCUCGAUACUGACGCUGAGGUGCGAAAGCGUGGGGAGCAAACAGGAUUAGAAACCCUAGUAGUCC